This 1577-nucleotide long non-coding RNA is filed under the name Marmota monax (woodchuck). Lineage: Eukaryota; Metazoa; Chordata; Mammalia; Rodentia; Sciuridae. The record is from RNAcentral.
GGGCAAGGCUCAAAGUAGAGGUCCUGUGUGUUUCAUGUGGUGUAGAGUGGGCUGGAAGAAUCUACUUCUAAUCUGGUGCACUCACACAGCAGAAAGUUGGAGCUAGUUAGGAGCUCAGAGAGGUUUGAGAGUUGUGGGCUCAGAUGCUCUCCAUAUUUGCCUCCUCACAGGCUACUUGGUCUUCCUCCUAACAUGGUGGCAAGUUUCAAAAAUAAACUUCCCAAGAGUGAGGAAAUAAAAGUUGCCAAUUUAUUAAGAACUGGGCCAGAAAUAGAAACAAUGUCACUCCCACAAUAUUUUGGUCAAGCUUCCUAGACUUCACUUUCCUAAAGAGGAAAUAAAUAUAGACUUCACAGAAGUACUAAAAAAAUGGGUGUUGUGAUAUAAAAUAUCUAGUCUCCCUUCAGAUACAAAUUGUUUACAUUUCUUCCACAUAUAUUCAUUAUUAUGGUUUAGAUAUGAGGUAUCCCACAAAAGCUCAUGUUCAAUGCAAGAAGGUUUAGAGGUGAAAUGAUUAGGUUAUGAGGGCCUUAACCUAAUCAGUGUGUUAUACCUGGUAAGGAUUACCUAGGUGGUGACUGUGGGCAGGUGGGGUGUGGGUGAAAAAGGUAGGUCACCAAGGGCAUGUUUUGGGAGUUUAUACUCUAUCCAUGCUUCCUGUCAUGUCCUAAGCUGCUUUCUACUCCUACAUUCUUCUGCCAUGAUGUCUGCUUCACCUUGAACCAAGAGUGAUGGAGUUGUCCAUCUAGGACUGAGAUCUGCAAAACUGUGAGCCCCAAAUAAACAUUUGCUCCUCUAAAAUUGUACUUGUCAGAUCUUCUGAUCAGUGCAGUGAAAAAGCUGAUUAAAACACUGACCCACUUCCGACACUUAAAAAGAGUCUCAUCAAUACUGCAUCAGAUUGAGCCUCAGGGCCUAAGAAUUAUCACUAAAAAUCAAGUGUAGGCAUAAAUGAGGCUCUUCAAAUAUGGGUAUUUAAGCAUAGUGCCUAAGUAUAGCCCCUCUUAGUGAGAAAACAAGAAUAGAAGACAAGUUCUCUGCCCAAUAUAGUCAGCAAACAAUGGUAAUGCAGGCCAGGGCACCUUUCAUAGAGUCUCCUGUUCAGAGAAAAAGGCAUGUAGUGGUGACUACAGCUACCCUGGUGCUACAGUCAUGCUAGUGUGUCCACUUCCUUGACUGUGGCUUAUUUAUAACCCCUGAGUAUUUCCUCUAUCAUUCAUGCUCCUCCUCUUUAGGUUCUAAGUGUCAUUCUCUAUAUCAUCCUUCCUUUUCAGUAAGAAAAUAGUUUGUAACAAAGUGGCUUCUGCAGUCUAUUCCAGCCCAUCAAAUAAUGUGGGCCCAAAGCUGUUAGGAUCUGUAAACAAGUCAAGAUGGUGCCUGGCAUUUUGCAGAGGGAGUGGUUUGUGAAGUAACGCCAGGGAGCCAUUAAGUGUGGAGAUUCCUUAUUGGUUGACUGCUGUAUCUAGUUUAUGUUAAUUAAGAUAAGCUGUGUGGAAUGUAUAUAUAUCCCUCUGGUCCUACAAUAAACGGAUCCCAUUCCUGCUGUAUCAAGGUACACAAGUUGUUCGUCAUGCCCU